This 138-nucleotide ribosomal RNA is filed under the name uncultured bacterium. RNAcentral describes it as "partial 16S ribosomal RNA". It matches the Rfam family "Bacterial small subunit ribosomal RNA", at positions 355 to 509 of the family's 1533-position model. The record is from RNAcentral.
UAGGGAAUAUUGCUCAAUGGGGGAAACCCUGAAGCAGCAACGCCGCGUGGAGGAUGAAGGUUUUCGGAUUGUAAACUCCUUUUGUUUAGAGAAGAUAAUGACGGUAUCUAACGAAUAAGCACCGGCUAACUCCGUGCC